UACGGGGGGUGCAAGCGUUAAUCGGAAUUACUGGGCGUAAAGGGCGCGUAGGUGGUUACUUAAGUCAGAUGUGAAAGCCCCGGGCUCAACCUGGGAAUUGCAUUUGAUACUGGGUAACUAGAGUGUGGUAGAGAGUAGCGGAAUUUCUGGUGUAGCGGUGAAAUGCGUAGAUAUCAGAAGGAACACCAAUGGCGAAGGCAGCUACUUGGGCCAACACUGACGCUGAGGCGCGAAAGCAUGGGGAGCAAACAGG
Molecule: ribosomal RNA, 253 nt
Filed under: uncultured bacterium
Lineage: Bacteria
Description: partial 16S ribosomal RNA
Rfam family: Bacterial small subunit ribosomal RNA
Source: RNAcentral